GAACUGAAGAGUUUGAUCCUGGCUCAGAUUGAACGCUGGCGGCAUGCCUAACACAUGCAAGUCGAACGGAGAUAGGGGCAACCUUAUUUCAGUGGCGGACGGGUGAGGAAUGCGUCGGAAUCUACCCUAUGGUGGGGGAUAACACAGGGAAACUUGUGCUAAUACCGCAUGAUGUCGAGAGACCAAAGCAGGGGACCGCAAGGCCUUGCGCGAUAGGAUGAGCCGACGCCCGAUUAGCUUGUUG
This 244-nucleotide ribosomal RNA is filed under the name Lysobacterales bacterium. RNAcentral's name for it is "partial 16S ribosomal RNA". It matches the Rfam family "Bacterial small subunit ribosomal RNA", at positions 1 to 251 of the family's 1533-position model. The record is from RNAcentral. Lineage: Bacteria; Pseudomonadati; Pseudomonadota; Gammaproteobacteria; Lysobacterales.